Triticum aestivum (bread wheat) is the source of this 134-nucleotide non-coding RNA. NCBI's taxonomy places the organism in Eukaryota, Viridiplantae, Streptophyta, Magnoliopsida, Poales, Poaceae. The record is from Rfam.
UACGUACUCCCUCCGUUCGAAAUUACUUGUCGCAAAAAUGGAUGUAUCUAAACGUAUUUUAGUUCUAGAUACAUCCACCUUCGAUAGAUACAUCCACCUUCGAGACAAGUAAUUCCGAACGGAGGGAGUACGUA